RNAcentral lists this ribosomal RNA (462 nucleotides) under uncultured bacterium. Its description in RNAcentral is "bacterial SSU rRNA". It matches the Rfam family "Bacterial small subunit ribosomal RNA", at positions 28 to 493 of the family's 1533-position model. The record is from RNAcentral.
GAUGAACGCUGGCGGCGUGCUUAACACAUGCAAGUCGAACGAGGAAUUUUAAAUGAGACUUCGGUGGAUUUUAAAAUUCUUAGUGGCGGACGGGUGAGUAACGCGUGGGCAACCUACCCUGUACAGGGGGACAACAGCUGGAAACGGCUGCUAAUACCGCAUAAGCGCACAGCAUCGCAUGAUGCCGUGUGAAAAACUCCGGUGGUACAGGAUGGGCCCGCGUUGGAUUAGGUAGUUGGUGAGGUAACGGCCCACCAAGCCGACGACCCAUAGCCGACCUGAGAGGGUGACCGGCCACAUUGGGACUGAGACACGGCCCAAACUCCUACGGGAGGCAGCAGUGGGGAAUAUUGCACAAUGGGGGAAACCCUGAUGCAGCGACGCCGCGUGAGCGAAGAAGUAUUUCGGUAUGUAAAGCUCUAUCAGCAGGGAAGAAAAUGACGGUACCUGACUAAGAAGCCC